Non-coding RNA from Ictidomys tridecemlineatus (thirteen-lined ground squirrel), 387 nucleotides. The record is from the annotation of a RefSeq genome assembly. Lineage: Eukaryota; Metazoa; Chordata; Mammalia; Rodentia; Sciuridae.
CUCCUCCUCACAUUCCUUAUUCAGUGCACAGGGUCCUGGGCCCAGUCUGUGCUGACUCAGCAGCCCUCACUCUCUGGGACUCCAGGACAGAAGGUCACCAUCUCCUGCAUUGGGAGCAGCACAAAUAUUGGGGAUGGCUAUACUGUGCAGUGGUACCAGCAGCUCCCAGAAACUGCCCCCAAACUCAUCAUCUAUGGUAGUAGUACUCGACCCUCAGGGGUCCCUGAUCGUUUCUCUGGCUCCAGAUCUGGAAACUCUGGUUCACUGACCAUUACUGGGCUUCUGCUUGAGGAUGAGGCUGACUAUUACUGUCAGUCUUAUGACAAAAGCCUUAAGGCACCCACAGUGCUCCAGGCUCAUGGGGAAGAAAUAUUUGACAGACAAUAA